GCGUCCGCCUACUCCACGCAAAUAGGCUGGCGUACAUGCGAAAAGGAGGUUAACCCAUCCCGCAGGGCCCGCGGUGCGGCAGUGUGGAGACCUGUCGUAAUAUGGUUCACCGAGAAGAACACGGUGACAUGAGGACGCGGCAAAGGACCGCCGCGUUCAGGGCUGUAACGCAAUGGCA
Molecule: non-coding RNA, 178 nt
Filed under: bovine gut metagenome
Description: malK-I RNA
Rfam family: malK-I RNA
Source: RNAcentral